UCUCUUUCCCCCACAAGGCCACAACAGUGCCGCUCUGUACCGACAGACACAAGAAUGCAGCGCGCGGAGGAGGUAGCCCACCGAGCCACGUGAACGCGUCCGACCCACUGGCGACACCAACCCCCACAUGGCCCCGCUGGCCCACUGCCAGUUGUGGCGCCUCCUCCCUCCCUCCUUUUCCUGCGCUAUUUAUCGCCGCCCUCGCUGCGUGUGCCACUCCCAUCGUAAAGCCAGCAAAAGAAAGACAGUCAGAGCAAAGCAGAGCGGAGCCUUCGCCUUCGCCCGCGCGCACACACACACAGCCGCAAUGGCGCGCGCCGGCGCUCUCUGCCUCGCGCUGCUCUGCCUCCUCGCGGCGCACUCCACCGUCGCCCAGAAGNNNNNNNN
RNAcentral lists this long non-coding RNA (387 nucleotides) under Hordeum vulgare. RNAcentral's name for it is "long non-coding RNA (HVUL_LNC003370)". The record is from RNAcentral. Lineage: Eukaryota; Viridiplantae; Streptophyta; Magnoliopsida; Poales; Poaceae.